GGAGGUAUAGCUCAGUGGUAGAGCAUUCGGCUGCAGAUAGAAAUGUCCCCAGAUCAAACCUGGGUGCCCCA
Molecule: transfer RNA, 71 nt
Filed under: Daphnia magna
Lineage: Eukaryota; Metazoa; Arthropoda; Branchiopoda; Diplostraca; Daphniidae
Rfam family: tRNA
About the family: Transfer RNA (tRNA) molecules are approximately 80 nucleotides in length. Their secondary structure includes four short double-helical elements and three loops (D, anti-codon, and T loops). Further hydrogen bonds mediate the characteristic L-shaped molecular structure. tRNAs have two regions of fundamental functional importance: the anti-codon, which is responsible for specific mRNA codon recognition, and the 3' end, to which the tRNAs corresponding amino acid is attached (by aminoacyl-tRNA synthetases). tRNAs cope with the degeneracy of the genetic code in two manners: having more than one tRNA (with a specific anti-codon) for a particular amino acid; and 'wobble' base-pairing, i.e. permitting non-standard base-pairing at the 3rd anti-codon position.
Source: Rfam by way of RNAcentral